RNAcentral lists this ribosomal RNA (497 nucleotides) under uncultured bacterium. RNAcentral describes it as "partial 16S ribosomal RNA". It matches the Rfam family "Bacterial small subunit ribosomal RNA", at positions 28 to 507 of the family's 1533-position model. The record is from RNAcentral.
GACGAACGCUGGCGGCGUGCCUAAUACAUGCAAGUUGAGCGCUGAAGGUUGGUACUUGUACCAACUGGAUGAGCAGCGAACGGGUGAGUAACGCGUGGGGAAUCUGCCUUUGAGCGGGGGACAACAUUUGGAAACGAAUGCUAAUACCGCAUAAAAACUUUAAACACAAGUUUUAAGUUUGAAAGAUGCAAUUGCAUCACUCAAAGAUGAUCCCGCGUUGUAUUAGCUAGUUGGUGAGGUAAAGGCUCACCAAGGCGAUGAUACAUAGCCGACCUGAGAGGGUGAUCGGCCACAUUGGGACUGAGACACGGCCCAAACUCCUACGGGAGGCAGCAGUAGGGAAUCUUCGGCAAUGGACGAAAGUCUGACCGAGCAACGCCGCGUGAGUGAAGAAGGUUUUCGGAUCGUAAAACUCUGUUGGUAGAGAAGAACGUUGGUGAGGGUGGAAAGCUCAUCAAGUGACGGUAACUACACAGAAAGGGACGGCUAACUACGUG